Long non-coding RNA from Nothobranchius furzeri (turquoise killifish), 3119 nucleotides. RefSeq lists it as uncharacterized. Lineage: Eukaryota; Metazoa; Chordata; Actinopteri; Cyprinodontiformes; Nothobranchiidae. The record is from RefSeq and is a predicted model, not a curated record.
AGGGGAUGAGGGCGAGGGUGGGGGCGGAAGGAGGAGCCACAGAGGGAGGGUUGUCAUUGGUCGGCUCUGGUUUCCAGGACAACAGGCUCAACCAAUCAGAGUGAGAGCUGCGUUUUUCCCUCGGCUUUCAGUCCGCUGCCGUCUGCAGUUCGCGAUGGCUGAACGAGCUGGGGCACUGUUUAGACCAGCGGUACUCAGCUGACAGUCUGUGGGCCACGUCCAGCCCGCAGGUUCAUUCUUUGUAGCCCUUGGUCCACCAGGUCAGGGAUGCACUGACAUCUGGCCAGGUCAGAUGUCUUAUCUGUCGUAUUCCGAUGCCAGGAAAAGGCAGAUUGCAAUGCUGAGAUGGUUCUGGACCACAUCACCUGGCCGGAUGAAGAAGAGCUGGAGGAUGACAGCGAAUCUCCUCUUGCUGUGAAAUGUUAGAUCACAAGCUACUUGCGUAGAUUUGUUGAGACAGGUAUUUGGCUUUUUUCUGGUUACACUCAAACUACAACUUUAUUUAUAAAGCGCUUUUCAAACAAAAAAAUGAAACUCAAAUAGCUUCAGAGGAAGAAAAAAAAUGACCCACAGAUUGAAAAGACCUGACAUAUCCCACAAAAUUCAUUGUCAAUUGAAACCCCCUUCCCCGACCCAGUAACACGCAUAUACACACACACACAUACCCACAUGCACACACAACACAUUAGAGAACAUAUGCAAACACUGGGCAGAACUCAGAUGAGUCAGGAAACGCCAUCAGGCGAGCCGUCUGAUCCAACUCCAGUAGAUCCACAGCAGCAGCCAGGGCACCGAGACAGGUCUCACAGAGGAGGGAGGACAAGGGCCCCCACCUACACCCAAGCACUACCUGGAGAGCACCCAGGCCACUGCCGCUGACCACUGGCCCUGAGGCAGAGGGCUCCCACUGAGGAAACGCUGUAAAGUAUUAGAAUAAGUAAAAGAAUGAAAUAAAAAGAGGUAAUGUAUGAAUAAGUAGUGACCAAUAUAAUUGUAGAAAUAGUAAAACAAUAUCAAAUCAUAAAUAUAUAACAAAACUUUCUUAAAAUAUAAGAAAUUUAAUCAUAAAUAAUAAGCAGUUAAAAGCUAAGCUAAAAAAGUUCAUUCUUCGGCCUGUUCUUAAAGUUUCUCUCUGGUCCUGAGGUCCUCAGGCAGCCUGCUCCAGAGGCAAGGGCCAUUAUAUUGUGAGGACGCCUGACCAUUGUUGUUUGUCCUGACAUUCGGGAUCACAAGGCGAUGGCUGCAAGAGGAGUGCAGAGGACGUGAGGGUUUGUAUGGUAAAGUCAGUUCAGAAAGGCUAGAAGGGCCAAGACCAUUAUGACACUUUAAAACCAUUACAAAAACCUGAAAAUCAUUGGAAUAAACCUUAAAGUCAUAAUAGGUUUAAACAGUUGUCUUUCACAAAAUGUGUACAAUCAAACUAUUUUAGAAGCCUUAACCCUCCCACUGUCUUCAUGGGUGACCCCACCAGGAAAGACCUCACCCCUGCCACAUGGACCUCAAGGGAUAAACCAUCAACCCUGCUCAGUGGUCAACUUUCCUGGUGGGGUCACCCAUGAAGACAGUGGGAGGGUUAAAAUGAGUAAAGUGUUUUAUAUGACACAGCAGAUAAGGUGGGUUUGCUACAUUCUAAGUAUCUUGUGUAAACAUGGCACAGAAGAUCUUUUAUAUCUCAUUUGUCUUUGCCAUUUUUUCUUUUCUUUUUCAGUGUAUGAAGAGCAAAGGAAGCAGCUCGUGAAGUUUGGGGUUGGAUGGGAGAAACCCAUGAAGUGUAUGAAAGUGGAAAUAAUGCAGGCAGACCAUCCAACCUCAUCUAGCUGCUUCCAUAUUCUAUGUCUGCCCUGCCACUACACAACAUUUGAUGUUUCGCAAUCAUCUUGAAAGUUGCAUAGCAACCAAUGUUCAUGGUUUUGGAUUGAUCUAAAGUUUAACGUCAUGCUAUUUGCCAGUGCUGUUCAGGUUAUACCAAACAAAUCUUUUUUUUAUUUAACCAUCAAGUUACAGCUGAAAGUUUCAGGAAUAUUGAGUUACAAGUAAGGCACAGCUGUGUUAUAUGAUAAAUGUUUUAUUGUAAUUUUACAAGUAGAGAAAUCAUUUUCAAGAUUGCAUUUUAUACAUAUGCAACAAACAAAACGUUGCUGCAUCCAGGGUCAUGACAAUAGAACAAUAUUUUUGUAGCUUAAUGCUAAAUGUUUUUUCCUGUCACUUGCUUAAGUUCAAGAUGUUAUUAAUAAAAAAAUUUUUUAAAAACUUAAAAAAUUUUAUUGAAUUCACAAAUGAUUGUAACCUAUAUUAACACGUUAGACUUGCAGGUUUUUAAAUAAAAAAAAACAUCAAAUUGCAACAAAACUUUCAUUAUUCUCACAAAUUUGGGAAUUUCAAUAUCCAAGAGAAUAAGAAAGGGCAGUUAGAUUUUUUGUACACACAAGAUUACUAUAAUUUUAACUUAAGAAGGUUUAAUUCUUUUAGUUUGCCAUCGAAGAAUAUUAACAUGCAAACAUUUUCAAAUGCUCACGAGUCAUUUAAUCUGUACUUUCAAGUUCAGAUGUGGUAAGAGAUAACGGAGAUUAAAAUAACGUGUUCAGUUAGAUAAUGGAGACUUAUGAAGAUCCUUCACAGACAUUUUAUACAAGUCAUUGAUGACAAGAUGCAAAAAAUGAAAGAUUUUAUUAUAGCCAAUGGUUUGCAUGUAAUGCCGUGUGGCUAAAUAACUGUCAAUCCCAAAAUUGACCUCAGUGGAUCCACAGCUGCACAGAGUCCAGAAUAUUCUCCUGGACUUAGCGGGCAUUCAACUUCUGGAACUUGAACACUAGAGUUGUGUUCAUUGUCGAUGAGUCCACUGGAUUCCCAUUCAAUCUGUGGAAUGUAAAGCUCCUGCAAUAAAAUGAUUGUGGGCUAGGCACAGAAUACGUUCUUCUGACCACACAACGGAGAUAGGACAUUCAGGAAACCACGCCUGCAGUGUCUAAUCUGCGCAUAGAGGACCGAACACGCUCCCACUGAAGUCUAUAUCCUUGUGACUUCAGCAGACCUUUCAUCAUGGUGACUUGAAAAGCGCUAUAUAAGUUCAAUGCAUUAUUAUUAUUAUCAAUCUAUACCCUGCAUUUGGGUUUCUGGCA